RNAcentral lists this transfer RNA (78 nucleotides) under Alphaproteobacteria bacterium. RNAcentral's name for it is "tRNA-Arg". It matches the Rfam family "tRNA". Rfam says of the family: Transfer RNA (tRNA) molecules are approximately 80 nucleotides in length. Lineage: Bacteria; Pseudomonadati; Pseudomonadota; Alphaproteobacteria. The record is from RNAcentral. RNAcentral also lists the same sequence under 1 other name.
GACCCCGUAGCUCAGCUGGACGAGAGCAAGUGCCUUCUAAGCACUAGGUCGCAGGUUCGAAUCCUGCCGGGGUCGCCA